RNAcentral lists this ribosomal RNA (859 nucleotides) under uncultured marine bacterium. RNAcentral describes it as "bacterial SSU rRNA". It matches the Rfam family "Bacterial small subunit ribosomal RNA", at positions 8 to 916 of the family's 1533-position model. The record is from RNAcentral.
AGAGUUUGAUCAUGGCUCAGAACGAACGCUGGCGGCAGGCCUAACACAUGCAAGUCGAGCGCACCUUCGGGUGAGCGGCGGACGGGUUAGUAACGCGUGGGAACAUAGCCUUUUCUACGGAAUAGCCUCGGGAAACUGAGAGUAAUACCGUAUAAGCCCUUCGGGGGAAAGAUUUAUCGGGAAAGGAUUGGCCCGCGUUAGAUUAGAUAGUCGGUGGGGUAAUGGCCUACCAAGUCUACGAUCUAUAGCUGGUUUUAGAGGAUGAUCAGCAACACUGGGACUGAGACACGGCCCAGACUCCUACGGGAGGCAGCAGUGGGGAAUCUUAGACAAUGGGCGCAAGCCUGAUCUAGCCAUGCCGCGUGUGUGAUGAAGGUCUUAGGAUCGUAAAGCACUUUCGCCAGGGAUGAUAAUGACAGUACCUGGUAAAGAAACCCCGGCUAACUCCGUGCCAGCAGCCGCGGUAAUACGGAGGGGGUUAGCGUUGUUCGGAAUUACUGGGCGUAAAGCGUACGUAGGCGGAUUGGAAAGUUGGGGGUGAAAUCCCAGGGCUCAACCCUGGAACUGCCUCCAAAACUAUCAGUCUAGAGUUCGAGAGAGGUGAGUGGAAUUCCAAGUGUAGAGGUGAAAUUCGUAGAUAUUUGGAGGAACACCAGUGGCGAAGGCGGCUCACUGGCUCGAUACUGACGCUGAGGUACGAAAGUGUGGGGAGCAAACAGGAUUAGAUACCCUGGUAGUCCACACCGUAAACGAUGAAUGCCAGUCGUCGGGCAGUAUACUGUUCGGUGACACACCUAACGGAUUAAGCAUUCCGCCUGGGGAGUACGGUCGCAAGAUUAAAACUCAAAUGAAUUGACGG